This 441-nucleotide ribosomal RNA is filed under the name uncultured bacterium. RNAcentral describes it as "partial 16S ribosomal RNA". It matches the Rfam family "Bacterial small subunit ribosomal RNA", at positions 338 to 795 of the family's 1533-position model. The record is from RNAcentral.
CCUACGGGGGGCAGCAGUGGGGAAUAUUGCGCAAUGGGGGCAACCCUGACGCAGCAACGCCGCGUGAUUGAAGAAGGCCUUCGGGUUGUAAAGAUCUUUAAUCAGGGACGAAAAAUGACGGUACCUGUAGAAUAAGCCACGGCUAACUACGCGCCAGCAGCCGCGGCAAUACGGAGGUGGCAAGCGUUGUCCGGAUUUACUGGGUGUAAAGGGCGUGUAGCCGGGCUGACAAGUCAGAUGUGAAAUCCGGGGGCUCAACCCCCGAACUGCAUUUGAAACUGUUGGUCUUGAGUAUCGGAGAGGCAGGCGGAAUUCCUAGUGUAGCGGUGAAAUGCGUAGAUAUUAGGAGGAACACCAGUGGCGAAGGCGGCCUGCUGGACGACAACUGACGGUGAGGCGCGAAAGCGUGGGGAGCAAACAGGAUUAGAUACCCGUGUAGUC